GUGAGCACGUGAGGCAGAGAGAAAGUGGGCCGUACUUGAUUUAUAACAAACCUAGUCCUAUAAAAUCUAGCCCACUCCUGCAGUAACCGUGAUCCAACCAUGACAAAGUCCUUGUGAUCCAGCCACUCUGAAAGAUCCCCUCUUAAUACUCUUAUACCAGCAAUUAAACACUCCAGAGCUGCUCAGGGGCUGUCUACUGCCCAGGGGCUCACUUGGCCUGGAUGCCCACACUAGAGGCCAGCUGCUUAGCCAGCGCCAUCACCUCUCUGACCAAACUUCAUAGGUGACACCACAAAACUUAGAGAAAUCAGGAAAGGCUGGAAGACCUAUGUUAGGAUUAACACCAGGGCUCAGUCAUCAGGUGCCAGAAGUUCCCUGAUGAGAGCCAAUGG
This 392-nucleotide long non-coding RNA is filed under the name Marmota monax (woodchuck). The record is from RNAcentral. Lineage: Eukaryota; Metazoa; Chordata; Mammalia; Rodentia; Sciuridae.